AACCCUUAUCGUUAGUUGCCAGCUGGUAAAGCAGGGGACUCUAGCGAAACUGCCACCGUAAGGUGAGAGGAAGGUGGGGAUGACGUCAAAUCAGCACGGCCCUUAUGUCCAGGGCUACACACGUGUUACAAUGGCCGGCACAGAGGGCAGCUACCUGGUGACAGGAUGCUAAUCUCGAAAACCGGUCUCAGUUCGGAUCGAAGUCUGCAACUCGACUUCGUGAAGCUGGAUUCGCUAGUAAUCGCGCAUCAGCCAUGGCGCGGUGAAUACGUUCCCGGGCCUU
This 283-nucleotide ribosomal RNA is filed under the name uncultured Sphingobacteriales bacterium. RNAcentral's name for it is "partial 16S ribosomal RNA". It matches the Rfam family "Bacterial small subunit ribosomal RNA", at positions 1100 to 1382 of the family's 1533-position model. The record is from RNAcentral. Lineage: Bacteria; Pseudomonadati; Bacteroidota; Sphingobacteriia; Sphingobacteriales.